This 302-nucleotide long non-coding RNA is filed under the name Elaeis guineensis (African oil palm). RNAcentral describes it as "long non-coding RNA (EGUI_LNC024047)". The record is from RNAcentral. Lineage: Eukaryota; Viridiplantae; Streptophyta; Magnoliopsida; Arecales; Arecaceae.
CAUAGUACUGAGGUAACAUUUUUACUAUUAGAAUUAUACUCAUUUACCUCUGUCUGGCACUAUGAUAGCAGCCUUGGAGAGUGGGGAUUAGAGAGGCCCGAAGUGAGAUCCCCACUGCCACGUGUCUUCGACAAGAGCGACAUACUUUCUCUCAAUAGUUGGAGUCAAACAAAUCUCAUUAACCAUUACUUUCUUGCAAAAUUUAUUAAUUAUACCAUAUUAAAAUGGUUGGUACAGAAUGUACAUAUGAUAUUGCACAUCAGGCUUAUGCCAAUAUUCAGUAUAUUGAACCAGCUCCGUAC